Molecule: ribosomal RNA, 503 nt
Filed under: uncultured bacterium
Lineage: Bacteria
Description: partial 16S ribosomal RNA
Rfam family: Bacterial small subunit ribosomal RNA
Source: RNAcentral
AUUGAACGCUGGCGGCAGGCUUAACACAUGCAAGUCGAGCGGGGUGAUGGUGCUUGCACUAUCACUUAGCGGCGGACGGGUGAGUAAUGCUUGGGAAUCUGCCUAUUAGUGGGGGACAACAUCUCGAAAGGGAUGCUAAUACCGCAUACGUCCUACGGGAGAAAGCAGGGGAUCACUUGUGACCUUGCGCUAAUAGAUGAGCCUAAGUCGGAUUAGCUAGUUGGUGGGGUAAAGGCCUACCAAGGCGACGAUCUGUAGCGGGUCUGAGAGGAUGAUCCGCCACACUGGGACUGAGACACGGCCCAGACUCCUACGGGAGGCAGCAGUGGGGAAUAUUGGACAAUGGGGGGAACCCUGAUCCAGCCAUGCCGCGUGUGUGAAGAAGGCCUUAUGGUUGUAAAGCACUUUAAGUGAGGAGGAGGCUCUUUUGGUUAAUACCCAAGAUGAGUGGACGUUACUCGCAGAAUAAGCACCGGCUAACUCUGUGCCAGCCGCCGCAGUAA